Small nuclear RNA from Sorex araneus (European shrew), 106 nucleotides. NCBI's taxonomy places the organism in Eukaryota, Metazoa, Chordata, Mammalia, Eulipotyphla, Soricidae. The record is from Ensembl.
GUGCCCACAUCGCCAGCAUGUAUGUGGGAAUUGGACGGAUACAGGGAAGGCUAGCAGCGCCCCUGCUAAGGGUGAUGCACGAUUUUGUAAAGAGUUCUAUGUUUAA